RNAcentral lists this ribosomal RNA (505 nucleotides) under uncultured bacterium. Its description in RNAcentral is "partial 16S ribosomal RNA". It matches the Rfam family "Bacterial small subunit ribosomal RNA", at positions 28 to 507 of the family's 1533-position model. The record is from RNAcentral.
GACGAACGCUGGCGGCGUGCCUAAUACAUGCAAGUCGAACGCACAGUUUAUACCGUCGCUUGCUUCACCAUAGACUGUGAGUUGCGAACGGGUGAGUAACGCGUAGGUAACCUGCCUGGUAGCGGGGGAUAACUAUUGGAAACGAUAGCUAAUACCGCAUAAUCUUAAUUAUUGCAUGAUAAUUAAUUGAAUGUUUCUAUUUCACCACUACCAGAUGGCCCUGCGUUGUAUUAGCUAGUAGGUGAGGUAACGGGUCACCUAGGCGAAGAUACAUAUGCGAACUGGGAAGGGGAGUGGGCAAAAUGGGACUGGGAAACGGACCAGACUUCUAAGGGGAGCAGCAGGAGGGAAGACUCAGAAAGGGAAGGAAGGCGGACCGAGCAACGGCGGGGGAGUGAAGAAGGGUCUCGGAUCGGAAAGCUCUGUUGUAAGAGAAGAACGAGUGUGAGAGUGGAAAGUUCACACUGUGACGGUAUCUUAACAGAAAGGGACGGCUAACUACGUG